UGUCUAUGAAAAACGACAGAGUAACGGGCUGAAAUUUAUGGAGCCCAGCCGGGCAGCAGACAGAGGCAGAGGGGUCGACGGCAGGAGCUGAGAUCAGAGCCCUUGUACUAACAACUUUAUCAAUAAAAAACUCCUGAAAGUUGACGCACAGUUCGAUGGAUGCUUCCUGGCAAACCGGCUUGGGAGCAUUUAAAACUGAGUCAGUGGUAUUAAAUAAAACUCGAGGGUUGUGGCGGUUUGACUCAAUGACUCCAGCUAAGUGAGCCCUUUUGGCUUCCUUAACCACAGUCUGAUAGUCUCUCCAGCGGUCUUUUAAAAUUAAAAACGACACUUGCAGCUUGUCCUUCUUCCAGCUGCGCUCAGCUCUACCACACUCCCUCCUCACUGCUCCAGUUGCGUCGUUGAACCAGGGCUCCAGUUUUGCUCUACGAUGUGCAGUCUUUAAAGGAGCCACGGAGUUCAGAACACCUUGACAGAAUAGAAUGGAACCAUGAGCUGAGUUCCUCUGUAUCCAUAGAGGAUAAACUAGAGGGGACGCAGAGCUGAUUAAAAGCAGCGGAGAAGCGACCGGCAGAGAGAGAGUUAAAAACCCGACAGUACCGAGCAGGAGCGCUGGAUUUAAGACCAGCACACGGAAAGCUGACAUUAAAAAUCACAGGCUUAUGAUCAGAGAAUACGUUAUCACCGAUCUCAAUAUUCGACACAGACAAUCCAUAAGACAGAACCAGGUCUAACGUGUGUCCGUGUUCAUGUGUGGGACCCGACACACACUGAACCACAUUAAAAGAGGCAAUAAGACUUAGAAAGUCCUUCACCAGCCGCUUAUCGGGACAGCACACACGAAUAUUAAAAUGCACAAUAUUUCUCCUGUCUGGAUUAAAUUUCAGAAAUACAGUUUAGAUUUACUAAAUAUUCCAGGAAUUCUUGCUCUCAGUUUGACCAUAGAAAUGAACUUGUUGUUGAGGCAGUUUGUGUUUGAGUUUUUCUGCCUCGAGCUUCAUCACCAGUGAUGUUCAGGACUCAUUCUUGUAUUUUACACUCUCUGAUGUUUUCUUUUCUUCAUGUCUAGUGUGUGAAUCAUUUCUGGUUUGUCUCUUCAGUGUCUCAUGUGGCCCUGCAGCUUCUCCUCCUCCACCUCCUCCUGAAGCCUUCAUCUUCUUCAUCAUCAGCUGCUCAGUGACUCUGUUGGACGUCUCACCGUGUGGCAGCAGCUCAGGAGUUUGCAGUCAACCAAGGCCGACUCAGAAUCACUCCCACCGGGAAGAUCUGUGAAGGAAGGUCCACCCGGCUGGUCCAGAAGCUCCGGUCCAGCAGAGCAGCGUCAGGAUGGAGACGUAACCGGGUGAGUUAACUAGAGAGGCGACACAUUCACAUAGAAAAUCCAACAAUUCCUUCUGUUUUUACAGUUUGUGACUCUGGUAAAUGGUGUCAUUUUUCAAAGCUGGUGGGUUUUGGGCUUCACAGAUUGAACCUAAAUGCUUUUCUUAAACAAACUGCUGAGCUGCUGCACAGUGAAAUGUUUGAGUGGAGCUCAGGAUGAAAGCAUCAGAGCUGUUUUACAUGUUUUUAUGUUCAGCUAAUAUCAUUUCCUCUGGACAAUGUUUGUGGUGUUAGAAGUGGACGUUUGUAGGGAGUUUUCAGUUGUGAUACUUUAAUGCAUAAAUAUUUGCAGUGGUGGUUUCACUGCAAGCAUCUACUGAUGUCACCAGUGAAGUAAAUAAAAACAGCAUUUGUUGAACUUUA
Molecule: long non-coding RNA, 1743 nt
Organism: Amphiprion ocellaris (clown anemonefish)
Lineage: Eukaryota; Metazoa; Chordata; Actinopteri; Pomacentridae
Exons: 2
Source: RefSeq, a predicted model, not a curated record